CCCAAAGUGGUAUUGCACAAGCAACGGCGAGUGAAGCGGCAACAGCUCAAAUUUGAAAGCUAGCCUUCGGGUUCGCAUUGUAAUUUGUAGAGGAUGAUUUGGGGAAGCCGCCUGUCUAAGUUCCUUGGAACAGGACGUCAUAGAGGGUGAGAAUCCCGUAUGUGACAGGAAAUGGCACCCUAUGUAAAUCUCCUUCGACGAGUCGAGUUGUUUGGGAAUGCAGCUCUAAAUGGGAGGUAAAUUUCUUCUAAAGCUAAAUAUUGGCGAGAGACCGAUAGCGCACAAGUAGAGUGAUCGAAAGAUGAAAAGCACUUUGGAAAGAGAGUUAAAAAGCACGUGAAAUUGUUGAAAGGGAAGCGCUUGCAAUCAGACUUGUUUAAACUGUUCGGCCGGUCUUCUGACCGGUUUACUCAGUUUGGACAGGCCAGCAUCAGUUUCGGCGGCCGGAUAAAGGCUCUGGGAAUGUGGCCUCCACUUCGGUGGAGGUGUUAUAGCCCAGGGUGUAAUACGGCCAGCCGGGACUGAGGUCCGCGCUUCGGCUAGGAUGCUGGCGUAAUGGUUGUAAGCGACCCGUCUUGAAACACGGACCAAAA
Molecule: ribosomal RNA, 593 nt
Filed under: Aureobasidium proteae
Lineage: Eukaryota; Fungi; Ascomycota; Dothideomycetes; Dothideales; Saccotheciaceae
Description: eukaryotic LSU rRNA
Rfam family: Eukaryotic large subunit ribosomal RNA
Source: RNAcentral